Molecule: long non-coding RNA, 5135 nt
Filed under: Olea europaea subsp. europaea
Lineage: Eukaryota; Viridiplantae; Streptophyta; Magnoliopsida; Lamiales; Oleaceae
Source: RNAcentral
UUUCCCUCUCAUUUUCAUUUCCAAAUAAGUUCUAUUUUCCUUAAAAAAUAUCUUCAUUGACUUUCAUCGAAACUUUUGGGAGAUCAGAUUCAGAGAGAGAAAACGGAAAUUGUGGAGUUUAGAGAGAGAAAGUAGGAAAUGUGGAGAGAGUCUGUUAGGGUUUCUGGAAAUGGACUACCCUGAAUCUACCAUACCCUCCGCAGGGGACGCUACUGAAACUGUUCCCGUCCAAGUACAAGAACGGAACUCUAUACCUUUUCUAUAAAUAAAAUAUGUAAAAUUGGGGAAUUUUAUACCUUUUUUUUUCAUACGAUUUCGUUUGGGUUAAUUAAUUUUUUUUUAUGAAAUUUACACACAUGGACACAAAAUGUAUGCCAUUUAGAUGUGUAAAUUUAUAGCAUUUUUUUAGUUUUUACUUGACUUUAUGUGCAUAAAUUAAUUUUAAGCUGAUUUGCACUAUUUUGGUAAUGGGGUGAGGAUUUUAGUUGAAUUUUUAGAUGGGUAUUGUAAUUUUAUAUCUGUGUAAUGUGUUUUCCCUUUUGGUAAAUUUAGAUACUAUGUGGCACUGUACUCGGUCUCAUAUCAUUUAAUUUUUCGUUCUCCCAAGAAAUGCAUCUGGUUCAUGUUUUUGACAGUUAACUUAAACCAAUCUGCUCUAGCAUCUUAUCAUACUCUACUCAUCUAUACAGAAGCACAUAUGUUGCAUGGACCAUUCAUCGAUGCUUUGAAUUGUGAAGUAAGAUUAUCCUGUUAAAACAAUCUGUAAAAUUGAUGCCAAAUGUAAUUUGAAGCAUAAUUCUCUUAGGCAUUAUUUAAUCUUUGUGAACAAUGGUUUAAACUAUAUUGUUUGUUAUCGAUUUCUAUUAGAAGUGCUUAAUUUGAUUUGGAUUUUUUUUUUUUUUAAAGAAAAAGAAAUUCAACAUGUUGCAUCAAUUGUGCUGAGCUUUAGGUAGUUCGGAUUUUGACUUUCUUCAAUUUUGGUGCCAUAUGACACAUGCUAAAAAUGAUAGAAGGUACUCUGUUUAUUGAUGUCGAUAACAUUUUGGUCGCAGUCAUACAUGUCAAUGGAUCUUAAGAGCAUAUGUCAUAGUUAUAUGAUAAUAAACCAAUAUUUAGAGAGGAUGCACAUGUAUCUCCAAUUUAUAUGGAUAGAGAAGUUUGUUGAAUUAUAACCUUUAGCACUCACAUUAAUUGAAAAAAUUAUAAGCAUUUUUGCACAUAUAAAUCACAUACUAAGUUCUAGUAGAUUUUAUUUAAAUGGCAAGUAUAGAAAAUAAUUUUUGCUUGGAUUCUAGUGAAACAAUAUCUUGGAGUGAAGAAAGUAAUUUUUGCUUGGGUUCUAGGGAAACAAUAUCUUGGAAUUUUGAAAAUUGCUCUUUGUUAAAUCAGGUAUUAAACAUUACUAGAAAUUUUAACUCACAAGGUUUGUACAAAUUUAUUAGGCUGCUCAACACCAUGGCUUGCAUGUACGUAGUCUCCAGUUUGAAGAUGCUCAGCAGAAAGUAGUAACAAAUAGGCAUGUACAAAACACUUCAGGUAUUGAAAAUAGUUCUAGGCCACUUGCCUCUUCUGCAGAUAGAGGGGGCCCCAAAUCACUAUCCUUGGAGACACCAUCAACUCCCAUUCGUCGGGUUGGUAUGACCCAGCAUACGGAUUAUCCUGGAAAUAGUGGGAAUUAUAGCAUAAAUUUUCCAAAGCCCGUAGGUAUUGGCUUGCACCUAAAUAGCAUUGUCAGCACUACGCAAGCAGGAACUGGAGAAACUGUAAUUGUGAAAUCAUCUGAAAAGGGUAUUUUAAGUAUACGGAAUGAGCAACAAGUGACUACUCUGAGCUCUCAUCUAUCUGAAAACUCAAAGAACUCUUCAUAUUUGUCUGUGUUGGAGAGUGUUCUCGGAAGUCCUGAUGAAAGUAGGCGUGAAAGUGAUCAUGCCUUGGUGGCAGCUAAUUCUGCUAUUUCUGUGUCCACUUAUGACGCAAAACCUUUGGACAACCCUAUGGUCUGUAAUCCAAUUGAGGAUCAAUCAACUCCAGUUAACAAGAGGAAGUCUAACGCUGGAAAUGCUGAUGAUGCAGAGGAGUUUAACAAGUCAAGCCCCAAAAGGAAGAGGCAAGCCUACAACUUAUCUUAUGAAUAAUGAGUUUUAUUAGUUGUCUCCAUUUUUACUACAUUAUUUUAGCUGCAAUUUUUCCAGGAAGAAAACACCCGAGUCCAAUGAUGAUUACAGUAGCAAACUUUGCAACUGCAAGAAGUCUAAAUGCUUGAAGCUGUAAGCGCAUAAAAUGUUUUCUUACAAAUUUAGAUUUACACUUCUAUCACGUGCUUUUGUAAUUUGUUUCCUUGUAGUUACUGUGAUUGCUUUGCUGCUGGAAUAUAUUGUGCGGAACCUUGUUCUUGCCAAGGGUGCUAUAACAGGCCUGAAUAUGAGGAUACGGUUCUAGAGACACGCCAACAAAUUGAAUCUCGCAAUCCUCUGGCAUUUGCUCCAAAGAUAGUACAGAACUUCAUUUAUCCAUCUUCAAGCAUUUGUGGGGUAUUGAGGCAUCGAAAUUUAUAAUUUUGCUGUACAACAGUGCAAUGUUAACUGAAUUAUUAAGUUGAAAUGUUCACAGGAAGAUGAGACUCAGUUAUCAAAGCCCUCCAUAAGGCACAAAAGAGGGUGCAAUUGCAAGAAGUCGAUGUGCCUCAAAAAGUACUGUGAGUGCUAUCAGGUACGUGGGUGUGCUUAUGGGCAUGAUUAUCUACGUUGUUUUUUCGUGGGGUUGGGGCUUAGAACCUCUGAGUCAUGCUAAGUACUACUUAAUUGCAUUUGCUCUUAUAAAAUGAGUUUUUUUACCUUAUGAUAGGCAAAAGUUGGUUGUUCUGAUGGAUGUCGAUGCGAAGGAUGUAAAAAUGACUAUGGCCAAAAGGGAGGUAUGAUUUGCAUUUGAAGUUCUGUUAUCACAUUGCAUGAGAUUCUACUUGUUAAUACUCAGGAGACUUGAGGAAUAGCUAUUAAUGUGUCUGAACAGGCAAAUAAGACUAUAAGAAUAUGAAUUGCUCUCUAUGGAAAUGACCUGGAGAUGCUCCCUAUAUAUCUAAGUAGAAAAAUAUGCUGCUUGCUUAGCAGGUUUAGCUUUGUUUGAACACUGUUAAAUCUGGACUAGUUUUCUUAUGUGUUUCUUAUUGCCUCUAUUUUAUUUUAUUUAUUUAUUUAUUUUUCAGUCUGUAUAAGGUUUUGAAUUUGGGGGUACCAAUGAGAGUAUAAUGACAAGUACGAAAAUAGAUAUUUUCUUGUACUCCAACAAAGUGAUAUAUAGCAAUUUUAAGUUAUUAUAAAGUAUAUCUCUGAACUUUUUGUGGUUUCAUUUCUAUUUGAACUGGAUGCUCCAUCUUUCAGAAUAUGGCAUGGAUAACGUCGUGGGCAUGCAAGGUUCUGAUGAAACAACAGAUGGCUCCUCUGUUGAAAAACUUGAAAUGGUGGGGUCUGGAAAUGCUUUGUAUCAUACUGAGCUAAGCAAUCCUCAUAAUUUGACUCCUCUGACACCAUCAUUCCAAUACUCAGAGUAAGAUUAGUUCUUUCUAGAUACAUUUCGAUUCCCAUGCACUUAAUUUCUGGUUAAAUGAUUAGCUAGGUACUUGAAAUUUGAAAUAGCUUUGUGGGCAAAUAUCUUUCCUUUUUCUCCUGAAAUUGUGCAGCCAGGGAAAAGGUGCAUCAAAAGCUUGGUUCUCUUCUGGAAAAUACUUCCAUUCACCAGAAUCUGGUCCCACCUUUGGGGCACCAUGCAUCACGUUCCCAAGGUCUCCUGGGAAUGUGUAUAAUUCUGAUAUGAUCUCAGAAUCUUCUAAAGAAAUUCUGGAUCUAGAUUCUUUUGAUCAUGAACUAGAUUACCACAAAGCAGAAGCGGUCAAUGACUUCUCAUUUGGGCACCAUGGACCUGGCAAUAAGGAGCUUCUUGCUGGUCCGCUAAAUGCAGGAGAAUCGGAAAACAAUUGGAAAGUUCAACCAUUUUCUGGAAGUGGACAUUUUUCUCCAGCAAGCUCCCUUCGUUGGCGUGGUUCACCGAUCACCCCUAUGGCUCAGUUUAGUGGGACUAAACUUCCUCAAGCUGCUGACUAUUAUGAUGGUUUACACAACAUUCUGGAAGAUGACACACCAGAGAUUCUGAAGGACACUCCUAACCCACUCAAUGCUGUGAAAGUAAGAUCUCCAAAUAAGAGGCAAGUUUCUCCCCCUCAUGAACAUUCGCUUGAGCUGGGUUCAACGUCAUCAGAAGGCCUGAGAAUUUCUCGCAAGUUCAUACUGCAAGCCGUUCCCUCAUUCCCACCUCUUACGCCUUGUGUUGAAUCUAAAAACGCUAGACAAAAAAAGACAUAAUCCGCAGAAUUGUAGCAACAACAGCAUAUGAGAUGAAGCAUAUGAGGUAAGUGUUGACAAUUACAUCGUGGGAGAAUGGAUGUUAUGCCCAGCAGGUUUUUUUGAGCAUGAUUUCACAAUGUUAUCCUGUUAUUUCACCAUUAGCACGUCUGUUUCUCUUCAGGACCUGCUCUAUACCCUCAAAUGGUUUUUCAUCCAUAUCAAUGAAAGCAACCUUUAGGUCACUAUAAUCUGCCAGGUAUAGGCAUUACUUGCAACAUGUUUGGUAGAAAGUAUUGGACAGCUUUAACAUGAUCAAGAAAGAAAAAGAUAAGAAACUAAAAUCAUUCAGGUUCAAUACUGCGGACUAAACAUGUACUUUGGAGCAUAAGCUCAAUUCAUCUUCUAAUCCUGCUUUUUAAAUGUCCUCAUUAGAAACCGAAGUUGCAACGCUUUUCGAGGCUCCAAAUACAAAAAUGAAAGAAAGCCUCAAGUAGAAUGGAAGAUUUCCAAAUGUACAGCAUCCUGUCCAACCCCCUUCAUGUUCAUACUUUCUAGAUGUUAAACAGAUGCUGCAUGCUGCUAUACUCUAUUGGUUAGGAAAAAAACAAGUCGGCCUUUUUGAUUUUCCAUGACGAUGAAUACCAUGUUCUGAGGGAAAGAGACUUGUAUUUUUUUGGCAUUUAAUUUCAAUGAGUACAUUCUCUAAUAAUAAAAUUUGAGCCUUGACUCAAGUCAGUGUAUAAAAUUAAUAAUCUUGAUUAAUGUAUUAAAUUAUAAAUUUAUUUAAAUCCUUUAGAG